AGUGAACGCUGGCGGUAGGCCUAACACAUGCAAGUCGAACGGCAGCACAGGAGAGCUUGCUCUCUAGGUGGCGAGUGGCGGACGGGUGAGCAAUACAUCGGAAUCUGCCCAGUCGUGGGGGAUAACGUAGGGAAACUUACGCUAAUACCGCAUACGACCUUCGGGUGAAAGAGGGGGAUCGCAAGACCUCUCGCGAUUGGAUGAGCCGAUGUCGGAUUAGCUAGUUAGCGGGGUAAUGGCCCACCAAGGCGACGAUCCGUAGCUGGUCUGAGAGGAUGAUCAGCCACACUGGAACUGAGACACGGUCCAGACUCCUACGGGAGGCAGCAGUGGGGAAUAUUGGACAAUGGGCGCAAGCCUGAUCCAGCCAUACCGCGUGGGUGAAGAAGGCCUUCGGGUUGUAAAGCCCUUUUGUUGGGAAAGAAAUCUUUCAGGCUAAUACCCUGGGAGGAUGACGGUACCCAAAGAAUAAGCACCGGCUAACUUCGUG
RNAcentral lists this ribosomal RNA (490 nucleotides) under uncultured bacterium. RNAcentral describes it as "partial 16S ribosomal RNA". It matches the Rfam family "Bacterial small subunit ribosomal RNA", at positions 29 to 507 of the family's 1533-position model. The record is from RNAcentral.